UAUAUAUAUAUAUAUAUUAUUUGUUAAGAAUAGUCUCAUUUUCUGACACAGAAGCAGAGAGAUCUGCAAGGACUACUGCACUGGCAUCAGUGAGUACUGGAAACUGCAUCCAGCAGUUCAUUUCAUUUGAGUAAAUUAAUCUCUGUUACCAUUAGUCUUUGCAAUUCUCUUAAGUCUUGCAAUUGGCAUAGUCUUGCCAUUUAGUCAUCACCAAAUCUGUACAAGUAAGGACAGAAUCUCCCUCCUUGGCCCAGGGAAUCAAGAUCAAGUGAAGCUGCCAUAAUUACAUUUUGUUAGAAAAAGGCUUGUGCCAAGCCAUCACUCUUGAGUUCCAUGGGUUGAGUAAAGCUGCCCCGUAACUCAUUUUAGGGCUUGAAACACAUCUUCAGUGAGCCAAAUGAAAAAAAAAAACACUGUAGGGAUAUAACCACCAGUGUUGGAGAAAGCAGGACAGGAACAGUCAGGUGAGGGCUCUGGGAAGCUCAUGGGCCACAGGCUGCAGUGUUAUUCCUGUCACCUCAGAAAUGUUCUCACCUUUCAGGGCCUCUUCAAGCAGCAUCUGAUGUAAAAUCUCUUCAUACACGUUCUCUACUUGGAUCACACUUGUGUAAUCAGCAAAAAUGUACUGCUCGUAUUUCUGCAGCUCCUGUGCAGGUAGGGAAGAAAGGAACAGAUGGAGAAAACCGAGGCAUUCUGAGUUCUACUGCAACCAAACAGCUUGGAGAUGCCAUGGAGCAGGUCUUGCCACACCCCGUGACAGCUCCUGGGGUGCAGUGUUUGAACUAUGACUCCAAGAGCUACGUGUGACCACAAUCAAUUAUGUACUUACCAAACAGUGUUCCUGCAGUACAACCACAGUUAAAAGCACUGCAGAUCACUGCCUGCUGAAACAAACAGCUGCUGAGGAAGUGCCUCACAACUUGUUUGUCCAAGGAGGCAAAUCCAUGGGAGAUGCGGGGUUUGGUUUUGUUUUUCUAACAGAAGAGGCACCUACACAAAUCACCUGGAGGUUUUCAAGUAAAAGGUCAGGACUUGGCGGGGCCUGUCAGCUGUGCCACACUUUGGCUUCUAGAGCUGGCUGCUCAUUUCUGCAGAGGCACAAAUACAAAAAGGCUGGUGGGAAACUAAACAGGAAAGGCUUGUGGAAGUUUGCUCCACCACUGCUUCCUCUGUGACAGAGACAUGAGGUGUCUGCACACAUAUUCCAGGUAAUCUGCACCAGUGCCUCCUGGAAUAUCUUCUUGCGGAUGGUGCUGCUGUCGUAGUCAUAUUGCUGCCAAAACACACCAGAAAGCAACAAGCCCAAGCGUGCCUGGGGUUAUUCACCACUCCCACAGGGAACUGCUUCCUGUCAGCCUGUAGCUGCUGCAUCACAGGGGCACAGGCUUGGAAUGGCCAUGCAGGUUAGUCCAGCUUCUACAAAAUCACUCUCAAAUCUAUUGUUCUGGGAUCUCUUUCACUUCUUUUAACUCUGAGGUUAAAACAGUCCCCGAUUGCCCUGCCCGGGUGUUUCAGCACUGCCCUUUCUGAGAGUAACGAAUCCCAGUGGCAGGCUAAUUAUAAAGUUAAUUAAAAAUUAUUUAUGCAGAUCCACAGCAAUUAAUAAUCUGAUUUACCUACAAUUAAAGGGACUGCACAUGCAAAUACUUUUAUAUGUGUCUGCCCAGAACUAGGUUUUAUACCUCAAAUGGGCAGCUUUGCUAAGGGCCAGCAAAUCAAUAUUUUCAGCUGGUAAAAGCUUAUCCUCUUUCAAAUACUAAGUACAUUCAUAUAAAAUGUAUUCUGUUUCCAGAAAGGCAGCCUGCAAAUGUGCUGCAUGACAUUUACCUUCAGCACUCUCAGCUUGACUUUUUCAAUGGUUGUUGCAACUUUGGCCGAGUCUGCCUGGUGGCUUGGAGAGAACAACUGCUCGAACGUAUAAACUGCAUUUUCCAUCAGCUAAAAAUAGUAAUUUAAAACAAACCUGUUAAAGAUCAGUAACAUCAAAUUCCUGCAAACAUGACAUGUGCAACUGUUAAUUUAAAUUGUGUUUCUGAGAAGGUGCUGUAAAGAGCACUGGAAUGCUGAAAUAAAUAAAUAAAAUUAAAGCUGUGAUAUCAUUAUCAUGCUGUGCCAGCUUUCUUGUACAGAUUUGAUCUCAUGUCCCCACCCAAACUGAUGGUGGCAGAGCCAAAAUGUAGAAUUGAUUAUCUGUGUAUACAGACCACAGUCAAAACUCAUUAUCCCUAAUAAGAAGACUCCCAUUGACUUCUAUCAUUAAUCAUUAAUAAACAGUAUUUAAUCAUACUGCACAUCCUUUUCAGUAGCUUUCAUUAUAAUACAAAUAAAUAAUCAGCAAAAAUCACACAGAGUGCAAUCAUUUCUCACAGAAUUAUGCUAAGCUGGCAUUUACCAUAUUUUCAGCUUAUCAUUAAGAAUAUUAUGCCCCUCUCUGAAGAUAUUUCAGACAAACAAUUCUGCAAGCGGUAAUUGAGUCUAUUUAACGAGGCUGUGCCUUUUCUUUAGCUGUUCCCAUUCAAAUUUUAACAUUUUCUUAUUGGAGAAGUACCGGGAGAUAUGCAGGGGGGGCAUUCCUUCAGCCAGUUGAGCAUCGUGCUCCCAGAUUUCCCGAAAUCGGCCACUAGAGGAUGCCAAGCUCCCAAGGCAAGGAAUCCUGCUCCACCCUCCACCCGGAGUACAUUUUAGCCAAAAUGUACUACAGCAACACAGACAUGUCUGAUUUCACUUAUUUAUGAAAUAAACGCCCAUGGACAAAAAGAGAAACUGCACAAUAUUUUUAUGAGGAAAAUACCAGUCU
This is a long non-coding RNA of Passer domesticus (house sparrow), 2797 nucleotides long. RefSeq lists it as uncharacterized. Lineage: Eukaryota; Metazoa; Chordata; Aves; Passeriformes; Passeridae. The record is from RefSeq and is a predicted model, not a curated record. The transcript is spliced from 3 exons.